RNAcentral lists this small RNA (100 nucleotides) under Pongo abelii (Sumatran orangutan). RNAcentral's name for it is "processed transcript". The record is from RNAcentral. Lineage: Eukaryota; Metazoa; Chordata; Mammalia; Primates; Hominidae.
CUCUCGCGCACAGACCUGCACUCCACGUGGCAGUACUACGAGCGCACGGUCACCGUGCCCAUGUACAGGACGCUCCCCAGGGAGCUCAAGGUAAAUGCCC